AGGCCUAACACAUGCAAGUCGAGCGGAUGACGGGAGCUUGCUCCUUGAUUCAGCGGCGGACGGGUGAGUAAUGCCUAGGAAUCUGCCUGGUAGUGGGGGACAACGUUUCGAAAGGAACGCUAAUACCGCAUACGUCCUACGGGAGAAAGCAGGGGACCUUCGGGCCUUGCGCUAUCAGAUGAGCCUAGGUCGGAUUAGCUAGUUGGUGGGGUAAUGGCUCACCAAGGCGACGAUCCGUAACUGGUCUGAGAGGAUGAUCAGUCACACUGGAACUGAGACACGGUCCAGACUCCUACGGGAGGCAGCAGUGGGGAAUAUUGGACAAUGGGCGAAAGCCUGAUGCAGCCAUGCCGCGUGUAUGA
RNAcentral lists this ribosomal RNA (362 nucleotides) under uncultured Pseudomonas sp. RNAcentral describes it as "bacterial SSU rRNA". It matches the Rfam family "Bacterial small subunit ribosomal RNA", at positions 44 to 408 of the family's 1533-position model. Lineage: Bacteria; Pseudomonadati; Pseudomonadota; Gammaproteobacteria; Pseudomonadales; Pseudomonadaceae. The record is from RNAcentral.